Molecule: ribosomal RNA, 253 nt
Filed under: uncultured bacterium
Lineage: Bacteria
Description: partial 16S ribosomal RNA
Rfam family: Bacterial small subunit ribosomal RNA
Source: RNAcentral
UACGUAGGGUGCAAGCGUUGUUCGGAAUUAUUGGGCGUAAAGCGCGUGUAGGUGGCUAGUUAAGUUGGAUGUGAAAUCCCUGGGCUCAACCGAGGAAGUGCAUUCAAAACUGGCUGGCUAGAAGAUAGUAGAGGAUGGUGGAAUUCCAAGUGUAGAGGUGAAAUUCGUAGAUAUUUGGAGGAAUACCGGCGGCGAAGGCGGCCAUCUGGGCUAUUCUUGACACUGAGACGCGAAGGCGUGGGGAGCAAACAGG